RNAcentral lists this ribosomal RNA (743 nucleotides) under Salmonella enterica. RNAcentral's name for it is "partial 23S ribosomal RNA". It matches the Rfam family "Bacterial large subunit ribosomal RNA", at positions 2200 to 2925 of the family's 2925-position model. RNAcentral also lists the same sequence under 2 other names. Lineage: Bacteria; Pseudomonadati; Pseudomonadota; Gammaproteobacteria; Enterobacterales; Enterobacteriaceae. The record is from RNAcentral.
CCACCCUUUAAUGUUUGAUGUUCUAACGUGGACCCGUAAUCCGGGUUGCGGACAGUGUCUGGUGGGUAGUUUGACUGGGGCGGUCUCCUCCUAAAGAGUAACGGAGGAGCACGAAGGUUGGCUAAUCCUGGUCGGACAUCAGGAGGUUAGUGCAAUGGCAUAAGCCAGCUUGACUGCGAGCGUGACGGCGCGAGCAGGUGCGAAAGCAGGUCAUAGUGAUCCGGUGGUUCUGAAUGGAAGGGCCAUCGCUCAACGGAUAAAAGGUACUCCGGGGAUAACAGGCUGAUACCGCCCAAGAGUUCAUAUCGACGGCGGUGUUUGGCACCUCGAUGUCGGCUCAUCACAUCCUGGGGCUGAAGUAGGUCCCAAGGGUAUGGCUGUUCGCCAUUUAAAGUGGUACGCGAGCUGGGUUUAGAACGUCGUGAGACAGUUCGGUCCCUAUCUGCCGUGGGCGCUGGAGAACUGAGGGGGGCUGCUCCUAGUACGAGAGGACCGGAGUGGACGCAUCACUGGUGUUCGGGUUGUCAUGCCAAUGGCACUGCCCGGUAGCUAAAUGCGGAAGAGAUAAGUGCUGAAAGCAUCUAAGCACGAAACUUGCCCCGAGAUGAGUUCUCCCUGAGACUUAGAGUCUCCUGAAGGAACGUUGAAGACGACGACGUUGAUAGGCCGGGUGUGUAAGCGCAGCGAUGCGUUGAGCUAACCGGUACUAAUGAACCGUGAGGCUUAACCUUACAACGCCGAAG